UGGUAAUUAGUUUAAAAAAAAAUAAAUGAUUUCGACUCAUUAGACUGUGGAUAAAUCCACAAUUAUCAA
Molecule: transfer RNA, 69 nt
Filed under: Urotrichus talpoides (Japanese shrew mole)
Lineage: Eukaryota; Metazoa; Chordata; Mammalia; Eulipotyphla; Talpidae
Description: tRNA-Arg
Rfam family: tRNA
About the family: Transfer RNA (tRNA) molecules are approximately 80 nucleotides in length. Their secondary structure includes four short double-helical elements and three loops (D, anti-codon, and T loops). Further hydrogen bonds mediate the characteristic L-shaped molecular structure. tRNAs have two regions of fundamental functional importance: the anti-codon, which is responsible for specific mRNA codon recognition, and the 3' end, to which the tRNAs corresponding amino acid is attached (by aminoacyl-tRNA synthetases). tRNAs cope with the degeneracy of the genetic code in two manners: having more than one tRNA (with a specific anti-codon) for a particular amino acid; and 'wobble' base-pairing, i.e. permitting non-standard base-pairing at the 3rd anti-codon position.
Source: RNAcentral